GGCAUAAAUAGAGGUGCGGGUAAAAGGGUAGCUUAAGGGUGUUAAGGGAAGGAACUCCCGAUAUCUUAAGCAAAGGGUUUACUCGCCGAAAGGGUGUGUUGGUUCCUCAGCAUAUCCUUGGGGGUAGGGUGUAAGCUCUAUCACUGUCAUGGCUGUGCCAUGAAGCGCUAUUUAUGCA
This 178-nucleotide non-coding RNA is filed under the name Caloramator australicus. RNAcentral describes it as "Lysine sequence". It matches the Rfam family "Lysine riboswitch aptamer". From Rfam's summary of the family: Riboswitches are metabolite binding domains within certain messenger RNAs that serve as precision sensors for their corresponding targets. Allosteric rearrangement of mRNA structure is mediated by ligand binding, and this results in modulation of gene expression. RNAcentral also lists the same sequence under 1 other name. The record is from RNAcentral. Lineage: Bacteria; Bacillati; Bacillota; Clostridia; Eubacteriales; Clostridiaceae.